This is a non-coding RNA of Danio rerio (zebrafish), 1201 nucleotides long. The record is from RefSeq and is a predicted model, not a curated record. Lineage: Eukaryota; Metazoa; Chordata; Actinopteri; Cypriniformes; Danionidae.
UCAACAAUUGCAAAAAGAGACAGAAGUUUAUGGGAUGAUUUUUGUGCCAAUAAGAAUGAACGUAACUUUAUAAAACUGAACGUAACUUUCCAAGAAACGAUCAAAAAUAUGGCACUGCAAAAGAAGAAAAUCACAAUGAAAACGAAAAAAUGAUCUCAGUCGCACGAAUUUAACAUGCUCUUCAAAUAUGCUUCAUUCUUUGUUAAUGAUUUUCAAAGAAUCGUUUUCGUGAAUCAUGGAUUUUGAAUGCGUUGCCACAGCUUUCGCUAACGCUUCGCAAAUUUUCGUUUGCUGUUUUGGCAUAAACUUCUCGUGGGGGCGGGCUUAACAGCGAUCUACUCUGAUUGGCUAAUGAGCUUUUGAUGGACAGUUGCUCUCUGACCUGGAAGCACAGACGGUGACGUCAGUGGAGCGCAUAUCGAAAAGUUGUUGCGGUGUGCAAUACGUCGUGCUUUAUGUUAAGUAUUAAUGUUAGUAUUUUACCUACCGUCGGCUCUUUCUAAAGAUGACCUCCCGGGAGAAACACGGAGCGGCAUCAUCUUCCACCUCAUCUUGUCCCUCAGGGCAGCUUGAAAUCCUAUACCUUGAUGCUGCUGAAAACAACAAGGCAUCAACUGCUUUCUUAUUCGUCCUGGAGGGUGUUCACAAACAUGGGUGGACUUCAAGGGAGUUGAAAACGUGAACAUUGCGCGUUGCAUGUUCUCAGUACGAGGAACUGGUCGAGGUAGCUUCAUUGCCGGAAAAAGCGUUCACAAUCAAAGAAUUGAGCACCUGUGGUGUGAUGUUUGGUCAGCUGUCACUUCAAAAUAUUAUGAAAUCCUGCAUGCAAUGGUAUAUGGAGUGCCUGAUUUAUUAAAUGAAUUACACCUCUUUUGUGUGCACUACACAAUUCUUCCAUGGCUGAAAUCUGACCUGAAGUGCUUCAUUAUGAGCUGGAACAACCAUCUAUCAUAACCGAAAAAAAUCUUUCACCAAAUCAGCUUUGAAACAUAGGAAAGUUGCAGACACCAGUGAUUGAGCCAGAUGUAGAGACAUUGGAGCGUUUGUAUCAACAGCAAACUGAUACUGACCCAGAAGAUGGUGUGGUGGUUCCAGAGAUCUAGUGCCCUUUAUCUAAACAGAGCCUUGCUCUUGUGGAAAUAUAAAUUUCUAUCAACUAAUUCCAAAUGAACAGUAAUCUACGUAUAACUGAAAAGUUAUA